GGUAGGAUGGCUGAGAGUUUAAGCGGUGGAUUGUAGACCCAUAAACGGAGGUUUAAAUCCUCCUCCUAUCA
RNAcentral lists this transfer RNA (71 nucleotides) under Cynoglossus senegalensis (Senegalese tonguesole). Its description in RNAcentral is "tRNA-Tyr". It matches the Rfam family "tRNA". Rfam says of the family: Transfer RNA (tRNA) molecules are approximately 80 nucleotides in length. Lineage: Eukaryota; Metazoa; Chordata; Actinopteri; Pleuronectiformes; Cynoglossidae. The record is from RNAcentral.